This 253-nucleotide ribosomal RNA is filed under the name uncultured bacterium. Its description in RNAcentral is "partial 16S ribosomal RNA". It matches the Rfam family "Bacterial small subunit ribosomal RNA", at positions 524 to 776 of the family's 1533-position model. The record is from RNAcentral.
UACGGGGGGGGCAAGCGUUGUUCGGAAUUACUGGGCGUAAAGGGCUCGUAGGCGGCCAACUAAGUCGGAUGUGAAAUCCCCAGGCUCAACCUGGGAACUGCAUCCGAUACUGGAUGGCUUGAAUCCGGGAGAGGGAUGCAGAAUUCCAGGUGUAGCGGUGAAAUGCGUAGAUAUCCGGAGGAACACCGGUGGCGAAGGCGGCUUCCUGGACCGACACUGACGCUGAGGCGCGAAAGCCAGGGGAGCAAACGGG